This 254-nucleotide ribosomal RNA is filed under the name uncultured bacterium. Its description in RNAcentral is "partial 16S ribosomal RNA". It matches the Rfam family "Bacterial small subunit ribosomal RNA", at positions 524 to 776 of the family's 1533-position model. The record is from RNAcentral.
CACGUAGGGACCAAGCGUUGUCCGGAUUCAUUGGGCGUAAAGAGCUCGUAGGCGGCUCAGUAAGUCGGGUGUGAAACCUCCAGGCCCAACCUGGAGACGCCACCCGAUACUGCUGUGGCUAGAGUCCAGUAGGGGAGCGUGGAAUUCCUGGUGUAGCGGUGAAAUGCGCAGAUAUCAGGAGGAACACCAGCGGCGAAGGCGGCGCUCUGGGCUGGAACUGACGCUGAGGAGCGAAAGCGUGGGGAGCGAACAGG